GACGAACGCUGGCGGCGUGCUUAACACAUGCAAGUCGAACGGAAAGGCCCUGCUUUUGUGUGGUGCUCGAGUGGCGAACGGGUGAGUAACACGUGAGUAACCUGCCCUUGACUUUGGGAUAACUUCAGGAAACUGGGGCGAAUACCGGCUAGGAGCUCCUGCUGCAUGGUGGGGGUUGGAAAGGUUCGGCGGUUGGGGAUGGACUCGCGGCUUAUCAGCUUGUUGGUGGGGUAGUGGCUUACCAAGGCUUUGACGGGUAGCCGGCCUGAGAGGGUGACCGGCCACAUUGGGACUGAGAUACGGCCCAGACUCCUACGGGAGGCAGCAGUGGGGAAUAUUGCACAAUGGGCGGAAGCCUGAUGCAGCAACGCCGCGUGCGGGAUGAAGGCCUUCGGGUUGUAAACCGCUAUCGCCUGUGACGAAGCGUGAGUGACGGUAAUGGGUAAAGAAGCACCGGCUAACUACGUG
This 468-nucleotide ribosomal RNA is filed under the name uncultured bacterium. RNAcentral describes it as "partial 16S ribosomal RNA". It matches the Rfam family "Bacterial small subunit ribosomal RNA", at positions 28 to 507 of the family's 1533-position model. The record is from RNAcentral.